UACGUAGGGUGCAAGCGUUAAUCGGAAUUACUGGGCGUAAAGCGUGCGCAGGCGGUUUUGUAAGUCUGUCAUGAAAGCCCCGGGCUUAACCUGGGAAUUGCAUUUGUGACUGUCCGGCUAGAGUGUGUCAGAGGGGGGUAGAAUUCCGACGUGUAGCAGUGAAAUGCGUAGAGUAUGUGGAGGAAUACCGAUGGCGAAGGCAGCCCCCUGGGAUCAAGCAC
RNAcentral lists this ribosomal RNA (221 nucleotides) under uncultured bacterium. RNAcentral's name for it is "partial 16S ribosomal RNA". It matches the Rfam family "Bacterial small subunit ribosomal RNA", at positions 524 to 740 of the family's 1533-position model. The record is from RNAcentral.